RNAcentral lists this ribosomal RNA (333 nucleotides) under uncultured Streptococcus sp. RNAcentral's name for it is "bacterial SSU rRNA". It matches the Rfam family "Bacterial small subunit ribosomal RNA", at positions 1050 to 1382 of the family's 1533-position model. The record is from RNAcentral. Lineage: Bacteria; Bacillati; Bacillota; Bacilli; Lactobacillales; Streptococcaceae.
UGUCGUCAGCUCGUGUCGUGAGAUGUUAGGGUUAAGUCCCGCAACGAGCGCAACCCUUGUCUAUUAGUUCGCUACAUUCAGUUGGGCACUCUAAUGAGACUGCCGGUAAUAAACCGGAGGAAGGUGGGGAUGACGUCAAAUCAUCAUGCCCCUUAUGACCUGGGCUACACACGUGCUACAAUGGUUGGUACAACGAGUUGCGAGUCGGUGACGGCGAGCUAAUCUCUUAAAGCCAAUCUCAGUUCGGAUUGUAGGCUGCAACUCGCCUACAUGAAGUCGGAAUCGCUAGUAAUCGCGGAUCAGCACGCCGCGGUGAAUACGUUCCCGGGCCUU